RNAcentral lists this ribosomal RNA (2459 nucleotides) under Klebsiella quasipneumoniae. RNAcentral's name for it is "partial 23S ribosomal RNA". It matches the Rfam family "Bacterial large subunit ribosomal RNA", at positions 398 to 2839 of the family's 2925-position model. The record is from RNAcentral. Lineage: Bacteria; Pseudomonadati; Pseudomonadota; Gammaproteobacteria; Enterobacterales; Enterobacteriaceae.
UGUGAACUCGAAGAGUAGGGCGGGACACGUGGUAUCCUGUCUGAAUAUGGGGGGACCAUCCUCCAAGGCUAAAUACUCCUGACUGACCGAUAGUGAACCAGUACCGUGAGGGAAAGGCGAAAAGAACCCCGGCGAGGGGAGUGAAAAAGAACCUGAAACCGUGUACGUACAAGCAGUGGGAGCACCUUCGGGUGUGACUGCGUACCUUUUGUAUAAUGGGUCAGCGACUUAUAUUCUGUAGCAAGGUUAACCGUAUAGGGGAGCCGCAGGGAAACCGAGUCUUAACUGGGCGUUAAGUUGCAGGGUAUAGACCCGAAACCCGGUGAUCUAGCCAUGGGCAGGUUGAAGGUUGGGUAACACUAACUGGAGGACCGAACCGACUAAUGUUGAAAAAUUAGCGGAUGACUUGUGGCUGGGGGUGAAAGGCCAAUCAAACCGGGAGAUAGCUGGUUCUCCCCGAAAGCUAUUUAGGUAGCGCCUCGUGAACUCAUCUUCGGGGGUAGAGCACUGUUUCGGCUAGGGGGUCAUCCCGACUUACCAACCCGAUGCAAACUACGAAUACCGAAGAAUGUUAUCACGGGAGACACACGGCGGGUGCUAACGUCCGUCGUGAAGAGGGAAACAACCCAGACCGCCAGCUAAGGUCCCAAAGUCAUGGUUAAGUGGGAAACGAUGUGGGAAGGCACAGACAGCCAGGAUGUUGGCUUAGAAGCAGCCAUCAUUUAAAGAAAGCGUAAUAGCUCACUGGUCGAGUCGGCCUGCGCGGAAGAUGUAACGGGGCUAAACCAUGCACCGAAGCUGCGGCAGCGACACUAUGUGUUGUUGGGUAGGGGAGCGUUCUGUAAGCCUGCGAAGGUGACCUGUGAGGGUUGCUGGAGGUAUCAGAAGUGCGAAUGCUGACAUAAGUAACGAUAAAGCGGGUGAAAAGCCCGCUCGCCGGAAGACCAAGGGUUCCUGUCCAACGUUAAUCGGGGCAGGGUGAGUCGACCCCUAAGGCGAGGCCGAAAGGCGUAGUCGAUGGGAAACAGGUUAAUAUUCCUGUACUUGGUGUUACUGCGAAGGGGGGACGGAGAAGGCUAUGUUAGCCGGGCGACGGUUGUCCCGGUUUAAGCAUGUAGGCUGGUUAUCCAGGCAAAUCCGGAUAAUCAAGGCUGAGGUGUGAUGACGAGGCACUACGGUGCUGAAGUAACAAAUGCCCUGCUUCCAGGAAAAGCCUCUAAGCAUCAGGUAACAUCAAAUCGUACCCCAAACCGACACAGGUGGUCAGGUAGAGAAUACCAAGGCGCUUGAGAGAACUCGGGUGAAGGAACUAGGCAAAAUGGUGCCGUAACUUCGGGAGAAGGCACGCUGGUGUGUAGGUGAAGCCCCUGCGGGUGGAGCUGAGACCAGUCGAAGAUACCAGCUGGCUGCAACUGUUUAUUAAAAACACAGCACUGUGCAAACACGAAAGUGGACGUAUACGGUGUGACGCCUGCCCGGUGCCGGAAGGUUAAUUGAUGGGGUUAUCCGUAAGGAGAAGCUCUUGAUCGAAGCCCCGGUAAACGGCGGCCGUAACUAUAACGGUCCUAAGGUAGCGAAAUUCCUUGUCGGGUAAGUUCCGACCUGCACGAAUGGCGUAAUGAUGGCCAGGCUGUCUCCACCCGAGACUCAGUGAAAUUGAACUCGCUGUGAAGAUGCAGUGUACCCGCGGCAAGACGGAAAGACCCCGUGAACCUUUACUAUAGCUUGACACUGAACAUUGAGCCUUGAUGUGUAGGAUAGGUGGGAGGCUUUGAAGCGUGGACGCCAGUCUGCGUGGAGCCAACCUUGAAAUACCACCCUUUAAUGUUUGAUGUUCUAACGUUGGCCCCUUACCGGGGUUGCGGACAGUGUCUGGUGGGUAGUUUGACUGGGGCGGUCUCCUCCCAAAGCGUAACGGAGGAGCACGAAGGUUAGCUAAUCCUGGUCGGACAUCAGGAGGUUAGUGCAAUGGCAUAAGCUAGCUUGACUGCGAGCGUGACGGCGCGAGCAGGUGCGAAAGCAGGUCAUAGUGAUCCGGUGGUUCUGAAUGGAAGGGCCAUCGCUCAACGGAUAAAAGGUACUCCGGGGAUAACAGGCUGAUACCGCCCAAGAGUUCAUAUCGACGGCGGUGUUUGGCACCUCGAUGUCGGCUCAUCACAUCCUGGGGCUGAAGUAGGUCCCAAGGGUAUGGCUGUUCGCCAUUUAAAGUGGUACGCGAGCUGGGUUUAGAACGUCGUGAGACAGUUCGGUCCCUAUCUGCCGUGGGCGCUGGAGAAUUGAGGGGGGCUGCUCCUAGUACGAGAGGACCGGAGUGGACGCAUCACUGGUGUUCGGGUUGUCAUGCCAAUGGCACUGCCCGGUAGCUAAAUGCGGAAGAGAUAAGUGCUGAAAGCAUCUAAGCACGAAACUUGCCCCGAGAUGAGUUCUCCCUGAGACUUUAAGUCUCCUGAAGGAACGUU